Molecule: ribosomal RNA, 206 nt
Filed under: uncultured bacterium
Lineage: Bacteria
Description: partial 16S ribosomal RNA
Rfam family: Bacterial small subunit ribosomal RNA
Source: RNAcentral
UGCGUAGGUGGUUUCUUAAGUCAGAGGUGAAAGGCUACGGCUCAACCGUAGUGAGCCUUUGAAACUGGGAAACUUGAGUGCAGGAGAGGAGAGUGGAAUUCCUAGUGUAGCGGUGAAAUGCGUAGAUAUUAGGAGGAACACCAGUUGCGAAGGCGGCUCUCUGGACUGUAACUGACACUGAGGCACGAAAGCGUGGGGAGCAAACA